CUAAUAGGUCCAAACAAUCUUGUAUAAGUAGAUUUUUUAAGAAUGCUUCCCUUUUAAUAGUAUAGAUUAAAAUGAAAAAGGAAAGAAUAUCAAAAAGAUUAAGAAGUUAAUUAAAGAAAAAAAAAAGGAAAUUAGAUUAUGAGGAAGAGGAGGUUAGAUGUCCCAUUCACCACCCGGCAAACCGACUUGGAAUGCCGCUUUCUUGUCCCCUCUCACUCCUCUUUUUCUCGCCUCGUAAUUACCACUACACCCUUC
RNAcentral lists this long non-coding RNA (255 nucleotides) under Brassica napus (rape). Its description in RNAcentral is "long non-coding RNA (BNAP_LNC001913)". The record is from RNAcentral. Lineage: Eukaryota; Viridiplantae; Streptophyta; Magnoliopsida; Brassicales; Brassicaceae.